AAGAAGUGUAGUUUUAGUACUAUUCAUGUUCAACGUUUGAUCGUUCGUUUUAUUUGAAAAAAGAUUAUGAUUAGUAUUUUUAUUGUUAUUAGAUGAUAAAACAUGAAUAGUACUUUAUGUGUGACUAAUUUUUUUAAUAUUUUUCAUAUUUUUUUCAAAUAAGACGGAUGGUCAAAAGCGCUAAACACAGAUAUUUAUAGCUGCACUUAUU
Molecule: non-coding RNA, 211 nt
Organism: Oryza barthii
Lineage: Eukaryota; Viridiplantae; Streptophyta; Magnoliopsida; Poales; Poaceae
Source: Rfam